This 586-nucleotide long non-coding RNA is filed under the name Ananas comosus (pineapple). RNAcentral's name for it is "long non-coding RNA (ACOM_LNC019890)". The record is from RNAcentral. Lineage: Eukaryota; Viridiplantae; Streptophyta; Magnoliopsida; Poales; Bromeliaceae.
UUAAUCAUCAAGCACUUGUUCUUCUUUCACAUCUCCUUUUGCCAUUAAUUGUAUCGGUACUGCUACUGCUGCUCCUGUUAUUGCUCGUUCGUUUUCUUCUUCUCGUUAUUCUACUUCUUCUCUUUUUGCCAUCAAUCGCGUUGUUACAGCUGUCGUUGUCGCUAUUGCUUAUCCUUUUGCCAUCAAUUCACUUUGAGCAACAGGCAACAAAAAAAGAUAGAGAAUGAGAGUAGAUUCAACAGCAAUUUUUAUCAUUAAUAAUUCAGAUAAAUAGGUUGUAAAUUAGGCAAACAUGAAGGAGUUGUCGAGCAAAAUUUAUAAGCUUGAAGUUAACAUACGUCGACAUCAACAACGGAAGAAAGUAUAAAUAACCAAGCCACAAUCCAAGAGUAAAUUGAAGCAACAGGAAACCAAACAUGAAUAAGAAGUGGCACAAAAGAAAUAGGAGCACUAAUGAUUAUGUCCUAUCUAAAUAAUAUUAGAAUUCAUUUUCUAGGUUGAACUGCUAUUUAUAAUCAUAUAGUAUUCUUAUCAACAUAGUGGAACAAGCUCGAUAAACAUAUAGAUUUUUUUUUUUUUGUGAUCA